CGCGCAGGCGGUCGGAUAAGUCGAAUGUGAAAGCCCCCGGCUCAACUGGGGAGGGUCAUUCGAUACUGUUCGACUCGAAGGCAGGAGAGGGAAGCGGAAUUCCCGGUGUAGUGGUGAAAUGCGUAGAUAUCGGGAGGAACACCAGUGGCGAAGGCGGCUUUCUGGCCUGUUCUUGACGCUGAGGCGCGAAAGUCAGGGGAGCAAACG
This 207-nucleotide ribosomal RNA is filed under the name uncultured bacterium. Its description in RNAcentral is "partial 16S ribosomal RNA". It matches the Rfam family "Bacterial small subunit ribosomal RNA", at positions 568 to 774 of the family's 1533-position model. The record is from RNAcentral.